GAAUAUUUUCGACUAUUAUCGAGCCGAUCCACACAUUUGUCACGACAUCGUUUGAAUCCUGAUUCACGUAUCAUCAUGGAGAAACGUUGCUGCGCUGCGAUCUUGAUUCUCGUUUUUGGGAUCAUCCAGGUCUAUUCUCAACUUCAAAGUGACAAUCUUGUUAACCACAAUAGAGACUACGCGAUGUCGAUUAUAGAAAAGGAAUUGGACUACCUCAACGACCAAUUUCCAACAUCCGAGCCGCAGUCGUAUCUGACUCCAGAAGAAGAAUUUCAGCAUAAAAGUCUCUUACAACUCCAACAAUAUUUCAACAACAAAAUCUUCGCUGGUGCCUCCAAGAUAGAAGCGUUGAAAUCCACUAUAGAAAAGUACUCUGAUCUAGUUGCCAACGUUGUUGAACAUGUAAAGUCCAAUCAGUGAAGUCAAUUGGCUAAAUGUACUUGAUGCAUUGACAUCUUCCAUCCGCUUAAUAAAUCUUGUAGAGCGUUAAAGUCA
This 495-nucleotide unclassified non-coding RNA is filed under the name Venturia canescens. RNAcentral describes it as "uncharacterized LOC122418130, transcript variant X1". Lineage: Eukaryota; Metazoa; Arthropoda; Insecta; Hymenoptera; Ichneumonidae. The record is from RNAcentral.